RNAcentral lists this ribosomal RNA (445 nucleotides) under uncultured bacterium. RNAcentral's name for it is "partial 16S ribosomal RNA". It matches the Rfam family "Bacterial small subunit ribosomal RNA", at positions 354 to 796 of the family's 1533-position model. The record is from RNAcentral.
GUGAGGAAUAUUGCGCAAUGGAGGCAACUCUGACGCAGCCAUGCCGCGUGCAGGAAGAAGGCGCUACGCGUUGUAAACUGCUUUUAACCGGGAAGAAACCCCAGGACGUGUCCUGGGUUGACGGUACCGGAGGAAUAAGCACCGGCUAACUUCGUGCCAGCAGCCGCGGUAAUACGAAGGGUGCAAGCGUUAUCCGGAUUCAUUGGGUUUAAAGGGUGCGUAGGCGGAGCGUUAAGUCAGUGGUGAAAUCCUGCAGCUUAACUGUAGACUUGCCAUUGAUACUGGCGCUCUUGAGUGCGCUUGAAGUGGGCGGAAUGUGCCGUGUAGCGGUGAAAUGCUUAGAUAUGGCACAGAACACCAAUUGCAAAGGCAGCUCACUAAGGCGAUACUGACGCUGAGGCACGAAAGCGUGGGGAUCGAACAGGAUUAGAAACCCUAGUAGUCC